UUACAAGUUUUGUCCCAGCUUUAAUAUCAACUAUCAUCAACAUUAUACAUGCAAGCAUCUGCUAACCAGUGAAGAACGCCCAUAAACAGGAGCUGAUAUCAGGCACAACUAAAAUAGCCAACAACAUCUAGCCCAGCCACACCCCCAAGGGUACACAGCAGUAAUUAAUAUUAGUAAAUGAGCACAAGCUCGAACUAGGUACGAUAGUACGGGUCGGCCAAUCUCGUGCCAGCCGCCGCGGUUACACGAGAGACCCAAGUUGAUAACACACGGCGUAAAGUGUGAUAAAUAAUUUAUCCAUAACAUAAGACUAAAGCUAAACUCAGCUGUUAUACGCACUAGACAAUGCUAAAUACAAUUAAACGAAAGUAGCCUUAACUCAUAAGACCAAUUAAUAUCACGACAACUAAGUCACAAACUGGGAUUAGAUACCCCACUAUGCUUAGUUAUAAACUGAACAUUACAACCAUAUCCGCCAGAAUACUACGAGCAAUCGCUUAAAACUUAAAGGACUUGGCGGUGCUCAACACCCACCCAGAGGAGCCUGUUCUAUAAUCGACAACCCCCGCUAAACCUCACCACUCUUUGCAUCUGCAGUCUAUAUACCUCCGUCUACAGCUCACCCCCUGAGGGGAGACAAGUGAGUACAACUAACCAAUUAAAAACGUCAGGUCAAGGUGUAACAUAUAGAGUGGGAAGAAAUGGGCUACAUUUUCUUACUAAGAAAAUACGGAAAUACUAAUGAAAAAAGUAUUAGAAGGCGGAUUUGGCAGUAAAAAGAAACAAUUGAGUUCUUUUUAAACCGGCCCUUGAGCGCGCACACACCGCCCGUCACCCUCUUCAAGAUAUAAUCAUAAUUAAAUAAACCAAAUAAAAUUAAAAGAAGAGGAAAGUCGUAACAUGGUAAGCGUACUGGAAAGUGCGCUUAGAAC
Molecule: non-coding RNA, 932 nt
Filed under: Uraeotyphlus gansi (Gansi caecilian)
Lineage: Eukaryota; Metazoa; Chordata; Amphibia; Gymnophiona; Ichthyophiidae
Source: RNAcentral